This 541-nucleotide transfer RNA is filed under the name uncultured cyanobacterium. RNAcentral's name for it is "partial 16S-23S ribosomal RNA intergenic spacer". The stretch from base 212 to 284 matches the Rfam family "tRNA". The record is from RNAcentral. Lineage: Bacteria; Bacillati; Cyanobacteriota.
CAGGGAGACAACAAAAUGUUUAAUAUUAUUAUUUUGUCACCUUAGGUCGAUCGGUAUCUCACGUUUUUAAUUUAUUAAGAAUUUCAUUUCCUAAGUUUUUCUAGGUCACACCCAUUAUUUUUCCUGGGCCAUUAGCUCAGGUGGUUAGAGCGCACCCCUGAUAAGGGUGAGGUCCCUGGUUCAAGUCCAGGAUGGCCCAUAUCUCUAUGUUGGGGGUAUAGCUCAGUUGGUAGAGCGCCUGCUUUGCAAGCAGGAUGUCAGCGGUUCGAGUCCGCUUACCUCCACUGAUUACCACCUCUCUCAUAACCGGUAGAAAGGAAAUGUUUUGAGUUGUGAUCAAAUUCUGAAAGAAUCUAGCUUCCUAAUGAAAUCAUUAAGAUGCUGGACUCAUUGAAUUAAUUUCAUUGUCUUCAGAGAACCUUGACAACUGCAUAGAUUAUUUUUAAAGACAAUAAGCAUCUUUAAUGAUGCAGAUUUAUUAUUUGUGCGAAUGCAUUAAUAACAAUUCUAUUAAGCUGAUGCUUCAAUUUUUGAAGUUAUU